RNAcentral lists this long non-coding RNA (1418 nucleotides) under Pan troglodytes (chimpanzee). RNAcentral describes it as "long non-coding RNA NONPTRT014539". Lineage: Eukaryota; Metazoa; Chordata; Mammalia; Primates; Hominidae. The record is from RNAcentral.
AUUCAUCCUCUCUGUUUCUAAUAAUACCUACAAUCAGUUGUGUGUAUUAAAAGCUUUGUUAAUAAUCUACAAGUGGUAGGUGACCUCAGCUAUUUUGUUCUGUGGUUUAAAGCAUGACCAAGAUUGUGUUUUUGUUUUCCCCAUUUUACAGCUAAAAAGUAUGAUGUUAAAAAUACUGACAAAAACGAGUUGUUGCUAUAAAUAUGUGAAUCGAAUGGGAAUUUUCUGGACUUUGUUAUUAUGAACACUGCACAGAGAAAAAGCCAAUGCAUCCCACCAGAAUGUCAAUGGGAUGGGGUACUGAGCCAAAGGAAAAGGGCAAAGAGCCCACUUUGGUACACCUGGAGUAGAUUACACACAUGGGGUUGAUCUUUCCCUUGAAGCCAAAAAGCUCUGGUAAUGUGCUCUCCACAGUACAUGAUAGAGCAGGGUAAAGCUGGAAAUUAAUCACCCAGUGCUACCAAGGCAGUUCAUUACAUGCAAUUGACAGCUUCCUCUCUGUAUUUUUAGAUGGCUAAGAAUCAAGUAGUUGCACAUCAAAAUGUGGUUUUUUUCUUGCUUCUUGGCACAGGACCCGUAUCUGUCAUCAUUUCAUGUCCUCAAAGGCCUGAGAGGAGCUGCCAUCCUUGGGCAACAAAGGAUGCCAUGCAAAGCAGCUCAGAACUUGAGUUGUUUCAACAGAUGCUGUUUUAUGUUUUGCCAAAGAAUGGCCCCUUUUAUUUCUGUCAUGAAUGCAGUCUUUCUUUCAGUUUCUAAAUGUUUUCCAGUAUUAACCCUAAUCCUUAUCUGUCAUUCUUUUAGGAUGAUGGGCUGUCCCUUUUCCUUUGGAACCAGCAUAACCUUCACCAUGUAAAUAUGGAUUGCAAAGAAAUGGAAACGUGGUGCUGUUCACCUUACAGCUCCUGAUGAUUUCUUACAGUGGGGGAGAGGCGGAUUGCACUUCAAGGUCAGAGUAGCUGAGCCAAGUUAUUCCAGUAUGCGCCUUAAAGGAUGUCAAAGAAUUGAUCUGGUGGAUAAAGUAAUGAGGAGACAGUGGAAGUUCUCAUGCAAAGGAAAAACAAUUGUAAAGAUACAAAGGUAUGAGUGAAAUCAUUCAUUUUUCACUGAACGCUUACUUCAUGCUGGGACCUAAGCAACAACUGUGGCGACAAUGGACUUAUUGGUAAUUUACUAUGUGCAGACACUCUCCUCACCUUUUGACAGAGAACAUUGAUUAGAUGACCAAAAGUGCCCGGCCCUUUGCCAAGUGUGAUAGAAAACAGGGAGAAGGUAUCAUCACUGUUUCACAGAUGCCUACAUUCCAAAGGAUCUCAUCAGAGCAUAAGAGCUCUUCCAGGUAAUUAGUAAUUGGUCCUCACAGCACCCCUGGGAAGUACUACGUAGGCAGCAAAGCUACACAGAGCAUAAAUGAGCCUUUC